GUUUGAAUGUAGACAUGCGUUUAGCUUUUCUCAACCAGUCACUGAGAUACGUGAACGGUUUGUCUAUUUUGCAGGAUCAUGGAAUAUUCAAUGUAGUCGUUGAUUCUUUUGACACAGCAUUAAGAUAAGCAUACGAAGUUAAACGUACUAAUUACUUCGGGGUUGGUUACCCGAAUAAGUGAGACUCGAAAUAUCGACCAUGAACUGGAAAAAAGACUCACAAACACGGGACGAUAGUCGAUACACAGAGGUCAGACGCCAAAAUAUAGGAUAUAGGACAAGCUGAAAGAUAUGUUCAAAUGAAGUGCUGAAUAUUUACGUGGCCCGUAUUUGGUAAUCUUGGAUCGUACUUUACUUUUGAAAAUAAAUUAGAUUAGUUUUUAACUUUUUUCCAGUUUCUUUCCUUGUACUGGAGUGUAACGAUUCGAAAAGCAGUGCGGCGAAAACUGAUAAUUAAUUAUAUCAUUCAGAUCAUAACUUUUUGAGAUGAAAAAUAUCAAAUUUCAAGUAGUCGCAUUUGAUAUAUACCUUUUGCAUUUGUGUCACUUCAGAUAAUUCAAUCAGAGUUAAACUGAACUAUGAACUGCAGAUUAGUCUCACUCUUUAAUUUGUCGAAUGUUUUUUGGGCUUUGACCUAAUGUCUCCAAAUUUCCUUAACUUUACCGGAGUAGAUUGCCUCUGCCAUAUUACUUAACUGCAGCCGAUGAUUUAUUAAUAUUUACUCUGCCAGCUCGUAUUUAUUCAUUGUUUUUUGAUUGUUUUGAAAAUGCCGCCGGAAUGUCAUAUGUUAUUGUUUCAUGAACUCAUGAUUGUGGGGAAAAAGUCAUAAUUAUGAAAUAUAAAGGUAUGUAACAAGUCAUAAAAUUAUUAAUGAUCUGUAUAAUAAGAACAAUAAUGUUUCAACACGUGUUUACAUUUCCUGUACGUUGACAAUAGGUUCACGUAAGUUAUUUAGGAGAAUUCUUUUCAUUUAGUUUGCAAUAGCCAGCAUUGUUGUAUAGGUUUUUCCACUUUAAUCUCAAAUUCGAAACAGCGGGGUCAGAUGAUUCCUCAAUGUUUUAUUUUUUUGUGAAAACAUUUUUUUCAAAUUCUUUUUCAAGAAUUCUAUACAUACAAGUAUUAAUUUUGUCAAUGUAUUGCAAUAGUACGUUAGGUUUGUUAUCCCAAUUGACUAGCACAUAUAAAGUAUGCUUUAAAAUAAAUUUUGUUUUACUCUUGUCAGAAGUGAAGUCUUGUUGAGUUUACCUUUCCUAUUACAGAUUUCUUUUGUUUCCAAGUAAAUAAAAAAUAAGAAUCUAACUAAAAGCUUGUUAUGAGUAAUACAGAUGGAUUGUUUUCAAUUUAUUAUAUAAAUCCAUCAGAAUAGUGUAAUAUAUAUUACAUUUUUUUAAUGACAUAGCUCAUUUUGCUACAAUUACGAAUUUUCAGAAUAAACAAAUGAAA
Styela clava is the source of this 1443-nucleotide long non-coding RNA. RefSeq lists it as uncharacterized. NCBI's taxonomy places the organism in Eukaryota, Metazoa, Chordata, Ascidiacea, Stolidobranchia, Styelidae. The record is from RefSeq and is a predicted model, not a curated record.